UACGUAGGGUGCGAGCGUUGUCCGGAAUUAUUGGGCGUAAAGGGCUCGUAGGCGGUUUGUCGCGUCGGGAGUGAAAACCUCGGGCUUAACUCGGGGCUUGCUUUCGAUACGGGCAGACUUGAGGCAUGCAGGGGAGAACGGAAUUCCUGGUGUAGCGGUGAAAUGCGCAGAUAUCAGGAGGAACACCGGUGGCGAAGGCGGUUCUCUGGGCAUGUUCUGACGCUGAGGAGCGAAAGUGUGGGGAGCGAACAGG
RNAcentral lists this ribosomal RNA (253 nucleotides) under uncultured bacterium. RNAcentral's name for it is "partial 16S ribosomal RNA". It matches the Rfam family "Bacterial small subunit ribosomal RNA", at positions 524 to 776 of the family's 1533-position model. The record is from RNAcentral.